Molecule: transfer RNA, 67 nt
Filed under: Dugong dugon (dugong)
Lineage: Eukaryota; Metazoa; Chordata; Mammalia; Sirenia; Dugongidae
Description: tRNA-Lys
Source: RNAcentral
CAUUGAGAAGCUAAACUAGCGUUAACCUUUUAAGUUAAAGUAUGAGAGCCGAACUUCUCCUCAAUGA